UACGAGUGGUGCAAGCGUUAUUCGGAAUCAUUGGGCGUAAAGGGUGUGUAGACGGCAUAUUAAGUCAGUUGUUAAAUUCUUCGGCCUAACCGAAGACCUGCAGCAGAUACUGGUGUGCUUGAGGAUGGAAGAGAGAAGUGGAAUUCUCGGAGUAGCGGUAAAAUGCGUAGAUCUCGAGAGGAACACCAAUGGCGAAGGCAGCUUCUUGGUCCAUAUCUGACGUUGAAACACGAAAGCGUGGGGAGCAAACAGG
RNAcentral lists this ribosomal RNA (253 nucleotides) under uncultured bacterium. RNAcentral's name for it is "partial 16S ribosomal RNA". It matches the Rfam family "Bacterial small subunit ribosomal RNA", at positions 524 to 776 of the family's 1533-position model. The record is from RNAcentral.